AUUAAAAAUGAGGGUGAGUUCAACCAACUCAGUGAGGGGAAUAACAUUUAAUAUACAUUUCAUAUAUUUCAGAUAUUAUUUGCAAGAUGAUUUAUCUUGAUAUACAUAUACAUAUACAUAUACUUACUAAACAUAUUAUCAUAACGUAGCAUAUUAUCAUAACGUAGUGGAUUACAUGUCAGAGAACAGAUGACACCCGAAGGUGACCAGAUGACACCCGUCGGUGACCACUGUGGGAUGAUCAAUCACCACAGGCUGAUGCCUCUCUCACCAGCUAGGUAACAGAAUACUAUGUGCACACAGGCUAACUAUUCUCCGUUAGCAUGGAGUACUGACAAGUCCCAUAUCAAGGCAUAACAGAUAUUCACAUAAUCAUCAAAGAAGCGUAUAUCAUAUCAAAUAGAAUUUACUUUAUCAGAUUGCGAGUGCAAAUUCAAGAAUAAAUGAGUACUCGGAAAAUAAAGCAACAUAUAUAAAUAUUCAAGAAAUUACUAGUCGUACUCAUUGUAUAAUCAACAUACAUAUUUAUUUAUAUUAUAUGCAUAUUAAAGAUUAUUCCACUCACCCGGAAAAUACUGAACUAAAGGAAUGUCAGGCAAAAGACCCGAAAAUCCGAUUAAGGAUCGUUAGGAGAACCUACAAUAAAUAUAUGAAAUAUACUCAAAAACAAAUCAAACAAAAGAUACAAAUGCAUAAAAUAAACUGGGCUUAAUCUCCCAGUUUAGGGACUAAAACGACAAUUUUCCAAAACAGGGACCAAAACGUAAUUUUACCAAAUUUGAGGACCGAAUUGUAAAUAUAUAACCAUACUGAAAUUAUCCAUAAUUCGUCCUUAUCUUUGUCCAGAAUAUCAAUUAUGCCCAAGGUCCAAAAUUGAUUUAUCAAAAUAUUAGGGUCAAAUCGUAAUUUGUCAAAUUGGAGGACCAAACUGAAAAUAUUAAUUAUACUGGAAUUUUGUCCUUAAAUCAUCCUCAGUUCUGUUCAGAACCUCAAUUUAUGCCCCAGGGACCAAUCUGUAAAAUUUCCAAAGUUCGGGGACUAAACUGCAAUUUCCAAAAUUGAGGGACCAAACUGAAUUUUCGUCAUCUUCAACCUCAAACCCAGAAUUUCAACAGAUCACCUACUGUUAGUUCCAGAUUUAUACCUCAACUUCAUCAUUCAAUUCAACCAUAACUCAAAAUCAUCAUAUUUCUCUAAAUCUCUCCAAUUCAACUAAAUAAUCAAAUACCCACAUCAAUCAACCCUUAAUUCAAACUAAUUCAUCAAUAACUCAAAAUUCAAAACUCUAAAAUUAAUCAAAACCGAAAUUUAAAGCUAAAGAAAACAUAUUAUACAUAUUCAAGCAUAAUCUUACCUUUUACUUGUUUUCUUCACCUUUUCCUUUUCCCUUAUUUUCCCUCUUUUCUCUUCUUCUUCUUCUUCCUCUCUUCUCUCCUGCCGGUUCUCUCUCCAAAUUCAGAUCCUUCUUUUUUUUUUUUUUUCUUCUUAUAUAUAUUUAUCAACUAUUGGUCAAUUACCACACUACCCUUCAAUCAUUUAUACCCUCUUUUAAGCCUCCAAGGGCUUUAUUGUAUUUUCAAAUCUUUUUAAUACAAAACAUCACACGAGGCUUUCCUUUAAGUUUUGAUUUGAUGUCUUAGACGCUCCAUUGUUACCUUGUUUUAAUUAAGUUUGGAUUUUGAUAAGUAAUGAGUAUUAUGAAUUAUUAUUUUUGUUUUAAUUACCGAUGAGAAGUUUUGAACUAUCUUUCGGUUUCAUCAGUUUUGAAAAAUAUGAUAUUUCUGAAUAUUAUGAGCCGCUGCGUAUUUUUGAACAAAUUAUUCUUUUGAUAUGUCCGUUUUGAGGCUUAGCAUGGGUGAGGUGUCCUUUCGAUACCGCUCCUGCGUUGCCGGUCACGGACCCGGGAUUCGGGUCGUGACGCAGCCGUUCUUGUGGGUGCUUAGGACUGACUUUCCUGAUGGUAUAAGGCAAAAAAAAAAAAAACACUGUAGGGGAUAGAGAUUGCAUUGUGAAAUGAACAGCACAAAUGGAAGUGUUAGCACACGCUGCAGUUGGAGGGUUUUGGAACCAUGGUGGCUGGAAUCCUACAAUGGAAAGUUUAUCCGUAGGAGUUCCGGCGAUAUGCAAAACUAACAUUCUUCGGGGAUCAAAGGGUGGAUGCAAGAUAUGUGAGUCAUGUAUGGAAAGUAGGCUUCGAGUUUGAGCCUGAAAUGGAGAGAUGGAAGAUUGAAGAAAGAGCUGUAAGAAAACUAAUGGUGGACAAAGAAGGGGGGGAGAUGAGGCAGAUAGCAGUGGACUUGAAGCAGAAGUUUGAAUUGAGCAUAAGCGAUGCGAUGGUGGUUUUUCUUCUAAUUCCUUGAAUGGAUUAGUAGAGUUCAUAAUGUCUUGUUUUUGAUUGCCUACACUGAUUAGUUUGUGUUUGUUUCCUCACAAUCUUUUUCAAUAAGUAGCUAAGUUUGUUCGAAAAUGCAUUUUUGGUGAGAAUGCUAGUGUGGAUUUUAGAGAUGAGGGAUUUGAAUCACUGGCCAAAUUGUACAUUUUCAAAGUUAAAAGUUGUGGUUAAAUGAGUCUUCUGCGCUGGUUUUGGACAGGCUCAAUCAUCAUUUUGUCUUGCACUUUGUUAGUUUCGAUCAGUUCACUUUUAUUGUGAUGUUCUUUGUUCUUAAACCUUAGCACAAGAAAAGGAAAUGGCAGUCACAUGAAAAAAACCUUCAAGCAGCCAGCUAAUUGUCCCCAGAUUGAAGCCAUUUGAAUCCGGAAGUUCUGAAACUAAACAAGUUCGAGCUCUUCAUUUCGUUCUUUAUUAUACAAUAAGAAAUUCAUUUUGCUAAUAUGUAGUCUCUCAAUUGUGAUACUGCUAUAAACAUUUGAGCUUCUUGCACGCGUUAGCUCUAUCUUGAGAAAACAAAUGUGAAUAAAAGCAAAAUCUUCCUUGCAAAUUAAAUAAUUAACAUGUUGAAAAAAGCAUUGUAAAUUCGUUUCCUUCCUCAACUCCGACAUGGGUGAUAAAGAUAACCUCGGAAGACUAAUGCUCAUAAAAAAAAUUGCUCAAAGGAAAUAAAUUGACUGGUUGCAAAGAAAAUCCGAAGAAAAAAUAAAUCAUCAGGGCAGUUUCUGGUCUCAGUGUAGUGAAGAAGCAGCUCGAAGCCUUGAAUGUCAACACUUGGGAAGAUCGGCUGGUGGAGGAAGAAGCUUCUGAUUGGGAAGCUUUCCAUCCAGGACGACCCAAGCCAUCUUCAAGCCCCAGCUUGUGUGCACUUCUAGAUGGCAAUGCAUGAACCAUACACCUGAUGAUGUCAUCAUCCACAAAUGAUACAACUCAGCAAAACAUGGUACUACGUACGUACAUACAUAAAUCUAAUUAUCUAAGCCAGGAUAUUACUUAGCAGAUUAUAUACUUAUAAUUAAUUACCAACCUGGGUUGUCGGCUAGAAAACGUAUAGCAACCCAGCCUCCAGAGGGCACUCCCACGGUAUUCCUUUCAACGGGGUCGACAAGAUUGAAAUUUGCAGGAUCCUUUUUUGGAUCAAAGUUCCCAAAUCCUUGACCAACAACAAAGAAAUUGAAACCAUGCAAAUGAAGAGGGUGGCUCUCUGCACCGAGGAGGCUAGUGUCCUGCAUAAUGAGCUCCACGCUGGUGUUAAAAGGAAGAACAACUAGCUUUGUUCCAUUGCUCACCAUAGUAUUGUUUGGCGGGGUGCCGGUAUAAUUAAAAGGGAUUAGUGGAUUGAUUGGAAAGUUAGGGCUGUAAACGCCCUUUGAUUGACCAAAAUGAUGGGCUUGGAGUAGAGCUUUGGUUGGCAUCACAAAUGAUACAUUAUUAACUGAAGCUGCAAACUUUGUUCCGUUCGGUCCCUGACAGGUUUGGUUUUUGGAGCAUGGGUGUGUUCCGAGGCCUACAGUGAAGAAAAAUUGCCUGUCUACCUUUUGCGGCACAUUGGCAGGGAAUUCUGCACUUGCUAGGCUGCGGAGUUUUGCUGGUGAAAUUUGUAGCGAAUGAAGUGUCAUUUUAGAGGUGGUAGAUUUGGUUUAUAGAGCGGCAGUUUCUUAGGGGAGUGGCUUGAUUUAAUGGUUUUGUGUGAUUCUUCGUAUUCUAAGAUUCCAGCAACAGUUGAAUUAUCAAAAGUUCCUUGACCGGUCACGUAAGGUCUAGCAGACAUGAAAAAACUGGCGUUUGGGUGGUGGGGCUUGGUCUUUAGAAGAACAUUGGUGGUUUGUCCAGGAGCAAUGAGAAGUGUCUCGGUAUCAAAUGGUUUCACAUAAAUAGCAUCAACAUCAACGACUGUGAGUGUAUGGUUUGCUAUGGUGAAGGAAGAGCUCGUCAUUGAGUGCGGCGUUGAUCAUGCGAAGAAGGUAAGUCUUUCCUGGCUUUACCUUCAUCUUGAAAGUAUCUGCCAAGCACCAUGCACACAAGGUGAAUGAGAGAAAAACAAAUGCUCUACAUGGUUGUAGAGGGCCUACUGCGCUAACAUAUUAUAACCUUUGGCAGAGCAGUUAUACAAUGGCCCUGGAAAUCCAUUGAUGGUGUAGGCCAUCGGAGACAUUUGGACCUCCCACCCGUUUGCAUUGCCUGGUUAAUGAUUGCCUCUGGAUCUGCAUUGAACCACUCCCCUGCAAUUUAUUUGCAUUAUCGUUUUGUGUUAGCAGACAUAGGACUCCAUCAACAGGGAAACAAAUUGAUGCAAGUUUUAACGAGCUCUUAUUCAGAGUAGCUUAAUUAGUUUCUUAUAGUAGAUUACCGAAGAUGAUCGGAACUUCCUUGUGAGGUUUAGCAAAUGGAUAAGUAGUCCGAGUUUGGGAAGAAUGAUAAGUGGACCGUAGAGAGUUGAUCUUAGCCAUGAUAUAUGAGCAUGGCCACCAGAGAGUGCCUCUUUGUCCUACGAUGGUGUAGUUGUACACAUAGCUCUGUCCAGUUUGUUAUAGGGCACUGAGUUAUGUAUGCCGGUCCAUCAGCCCACCCACUUCGAAGCUGCCGGAUUCCAUGCCUGUAUCAAUGAAAUCGUUGACAGAGAUUUAGACUCAGCUUUUCUCUAUGUAAGGUUCACUAAAGUUGGAGAAAAUUGAAGGAGACCAGUCCAUAUAUAUAUACCAGUGAAUAGAGAUAUUGUUUGGGACAUGGUUAACCACUUUAAUAAGAAGACGAUCACCCUCCCUAGCAACAAUGCGAGGCCCCGGGAACUUGCCGUUGACUGUUACAAUGCUCUUGGUGUGGCAAAGGCGGGUCACAUUUUGUAACAUAACCUGCAAAAUUUCAUUUUCUUUGACUGUUAGGAAUUAAGUUAAGAACAGAGGAUAAAAAAUUUGAACAGUUUUAGGUACUUGUAGACAAUGACAUGCAUGUAACACACACAUACAUCAAAUUUGUAGUGCCUGGUGAUGGCAAGUGCAGGCUCUGGAUGGAUAGACAAGGUGACAAAUGAGAUGAGAAAAACUGCAAGAAAUGCUGGCGAUGGAAGAAAUGAAGCACCCAUUUUUAUCUGUUUCUUCUCUUCGAGAGGAGCUGCUCUUUUGGGACUGGAUGCACAUCAAAGCUUAGAAACCAGUAUAUAUAGAGAGUUGAAGGCAGGGUGUUUCGUUGAUUAGGUGACAGAAAUUGUAUAGUUUAAAAUUGAAAAGAAAACCAGAAGAAGCUACAUGAAACUAUGCAUAAUUUUCAGUUUAUUAACAGCUUUAGAGUGCAGUCAAAGCCAAUUGCCUUUGUGUCCUUCCUUUUGAAGUAAAAAACCUGUCUUCCCUACUUAAAUAAUAUUAUCCCCAUUUUACUGGCAUGUCAUUUUCCAGAUUUCUUACAUGCAUUUUCUGACUUAGGUGAAAAAGACUUCCAUUUUCAGCAACAAGUAGGGUUUCCAUUUAAACCGCUUCCACCCAUCCAUGGUCAUACUGGUGUAACAGUGAUAGGUUUCCAUUUUCUGUUGCGUAUCAAUGCUGCUACGUACCAUAACAGCAAUGCGUUGAUUAGCUAGCUCCCCACCAUCAUCAAAACUUAAGAUGGUAUUUUCAGUUGGUCGAAAUACUAAUUGCAAGCAGUUUUUGAAAGAACAAUCUUAGCCAACGUCAAGAAAGUUUAUCCAUAACAUUACGGGGAAUAUAACUCAAUUGGUCAGGCUCUGAGUUUGCUUUCCAGAUAUCAAUAGUUUGAAUGCCACAAACUUCAAGGUCACUGGAGACUUACAUAAUCAUUAAUUUCAGGGCCUCAGGGAAUCAGUUGAGAUGCAUGUAAGCUGAUCCGAACACCCACAAUUAAAAAAAAGAAGAAAAAAGAAGAAAAACAAAGUUUAACCACAUAUGUAAGACAACAGCGCAGUGCUUGCUGACAAAGCUAACCAAGAUUGUUGUUUCUAUCAAAGAAAGUCCAUUUCAGUGUUAGAUGUGUGUAAUGAAGUGCAGGCUACAGAUGAACAGGAGGGAGAUCGCACCUGAAGCAAUUUUAUCUCAAGCAAACAUAUAGUAACAUACUAACUACCGUGGGAAUAUAUAAAUAUAAUUCCCAGAGAAUUUCUACAUAACAAUGCAUGAACCAUACACCUGAUGACAGCCAUCAUCCACAUGGAACAAGUCAGGAAACCAUGGUAUUACUACAUGAAUUUAAUUAUCUAAGCUAGGAUAUUACUUAGCAAUAUAUACUUUUAAUUAAUUACCAACCUGGAUUGUCUGCUAAAAAAACUGUUCAGCAACCUAUCCUACAGAGGGCACUCCCACAAUAUUCCUUUCAAGGGGGUCGACAAGAUUGAGAUUUGCAGGAUCCUUUUUUGGAUCAAAGUUCCCAAAACCUUGACCAACAACAAAGAAAUUGAAACCAUGCAACUGAAGAGGGUGGCUCUCAGCACCAAGGAUGCUUGUGUCCUGCAUUAUGAGCUCCACGCUGGUGUUAUAAGGAAGCACAACUAGCUUGGUUCCAUGGCUCACCAUUGUAUUGUUUUGUGGGGUGCCGGUAUAAUCAAAAGGGAUUAGUGGACUGCUACCAUGCUCUUGGUGUGGCAAAGGCGUGUCACAUUUUGUAACAUAACCUGCAAAAUUUCAUUUUCUAUAGACCGUUAAAAACGAGGUUAAAAAAGAAGAAGAAGAGAGAAAAUUUGAACAAUUUUAAGUACUUUCGACAAAGUCAUGUAUGUAACACAUACAUCAAAUUUGUAGUGCCUGGUAAUGGCAAUUGCAGGCUGAGGAUGGAGAAACAAAGUGACAAAAGAGGAGAGAAAAACCGCCAGAGAUGCUGGUGAUGGAAGAAGAUAGAUAACCAUUUUUCUUGUCUGUUAUUACUUUCCAACAAGGCUAGAUGAUGCACCAAUCUAAUUACUUAAUUAUAGAGAGACAUAAAAAAAUCGUGUACAGGUUCAUAAUGGUAAUUAUGAAUUAACCGUGGAGGAUGAUGUCUUUUAAUUUGAUGAGUUAAUUGAUCCAUAUCGAGUUGCUACAUCUAAUUACUUAGAAAUAUCAAAUUUUUGCAUCACCAAUAAUACUUUGGUUAAUGUUGACAUUGGAGAUUUAAAUGGUGUUUUGAGAACCAACGGACAUAUAGAAGUUGAUGGAGAUGAUGAUAGCGAUGAAAUCAACAUAGAAGAUUGCAAUGGAAAUGACUUAGUCCGUUGUUAUAUUCUAGAGAGUUGGAAAAGAAUUACUGCAAAUACCAUUUAUUUUCUGUUUUUGUCACGACCCGAAUCCCGGAUCCGUGACCGGCAACGUAGGAGCGGUGUCGAAAGGACACCUCACCUACGCUAAGCCUUAGAACGGACAUAUCAAAAGAACAAUUUGUUCAAAAAUACGCAGCGGCUCAUAAUAUUCAGAAAUAUUAUAUUAUUCAAAUACUGAUGAAACUGAAAGAUAAUUAUUAAAACAAAAAUAAUAAUUCAUAAUACUCAUUACAUUGUCAAAAUCCAAAUGUAAUUAAAACAAGGUAACAGUGGAGCGUCUAAGACAUCAAAUCAAAACUGAAAGGAAAGCCUCGCGAACAAGCAAGGCAUACCGACCAGAACUGAAGAAGCGGAAACACUAAACAAAAUCUCAGAAACUAAGAACCUGAAAUAAUAUUAAAAAAAAAUGAGGGGUGAGUUCAACCAACUCAGUGAGGGAAUAACAUUUAAUAUACAUUUCAGAUAUUUCAGAUAACUAUAUUUAUCUUGAUAUACAUAUACAUAUACAUAUUCAUACUAAACAUAUUAUCAUAACGUAGUGGAUUACAUGUCAGAGAACAGAUGACACCCGAAGGUGACCAGAUGACACCCCGAAGGUGACCAGAUGACACCCGUCGGUGACCAGAUGACACCCGUCGGUGACCACUGUGGGAUGAUCAAU
Molecule: long non-coding RNA, 8289 nt
Filed under: Populus tremula
Lineage: Eukaryota; Viridiplantae; Streptophyta; Magnoliopsida; Malpighiales; Salicaceae
Description: long non-coding RNA (PTRE_LNC003165)
Source: RNAcentral